Molecule: ribosomal RNA, 478 nt
Filed under: uncultured bacterium
Lineage: Bacteria
Description: partial 16S ribosomal RNA
Rfam family: Bacterial small subunit ribosomal RNA
Source: RNAcentral
GAUGAACGCUGGCGGCGUGCUUAACACAUGCAAGUCGAACGGGAAACCUUUUAUUGAAGCUUCGGCAGAUUUCGCUGGUUUCUAGUGGCGGACGGGUGAGUAACGCGUGGGUAACCUGCCCUAUACAGGGGGAUAACAACCAGAAAUGGUUGCUAAUACCGCAUAAGCGCACAGGGCCGCAUGGUCCGGUGUGAAAAACUCCGGUGGUAUAGGAUGGACCCGCGUUGGAUUAGCCAGUUGGCAGGGUAACGGCCUACCAAAGCGACGAUCCAUAGCCGGCCUGAGAGGGUGAACGGCCACAUUGGGACUGAGACACGGCCCAGACUCCUACGGGAGGCAGCAGUGGGGAAUAUUGCACAAUGGGGGAAAACCUGAUGCAGCGACGCCGCGUGAAGGAAGAAGUAUCUCGGUAUGUAAACUUCUAUCAGCAGGGAAGAUAGUGACGGUACCUGACUAAGAAGCCCCGGCUAACUACGUG